Molecule: transfer RNA, 73 nt
Filed under: Stegodyphus mimosarum
Lineage: Eukaryota; Metazoa; Arthropoda; Arachnida; Araneae; Eresidae
Rfam family: tRNA
About the family: Transfer RNA (tRNA) molecules are approximately 80 nucleotides in length.
Source: Rfam by way of RNAcentral
GCCUUUGUGGUGUAGUGGUCUGCAUGAUCGACGCGUAACCGAGAGGUCCGUGGUUCGAUUCCCGGCGAAGGCG